This 263-nucleotide ribosomal RNA is filed under the name uncultured bacterium. RNAcentral describes it as "partial 16S ribosomal RNA". It matches the Rfam family "Bacterial small subunit ribosomal RNA", at positions 32 to 302 of the family's 1533-position model. The record is from RNAcentral.
AAUCAACGCUGGCGGCGUGCCUAACACAUGCAAGUCGAACGCGAAAGGGACUUCGGUUCUUAGUAGAGUGGCGUACGGGUGAGUAACGCGUGGGGUAAUCUACCCUUGGGUGGGGAAUAACUAAUCGAAAGGUUAGCUAAUACCGCAUAAUACAGUGAUGUCAAAACAGUAAUGUGCCCGAGGAGGAGCCUGCGUCUGAUUAGGUAGUUGGGUGGGGUAACGGCCGUACCAAGCCUGCGAUCAGUAGCUGGUCUGAGAGGACG